UACGGGGGGGGCAAGCGUUGUUCGGAAUUACUGGGCGUAAAGGGCUCGUAGGCGGCCAACUAAGUCAGACGUGAAAUCCCUCGGCUUAACCGGGGAACUGCGUCUGAUACUGGAUGGCUUGAGUUUGGGAGAGGGAUGCGGAAUUCCAGGUGUAGCGGUGAAAUGCGUAGAUAUCUGGAGGAACACCAGUGGCGAAAGCGGCUCACUGGACCUGAUCUGACACUGAGGUGCGAAAGCUAGGGUAGCAAACGGG
Molecule: ribosomal RNA, 253 nt
Filed under: uncultured bacterium
Lineage: Bacteria
Description: partial 16S ribosomal RNA
Rfam family: Bacterial small subunit ribosomal RNA
Source: RNAcentral